Molecule: ribosomal RNA, 497 nt
Filed under: uncultured bacterium
Lineage: Bacteria
Description: partial 16S ribosomal RNA
Rfam family: Bacterial small subunit ribosomal RNA
Source: RNAcentral
GAUGAACGCUGGCGGCGUGCCUAAUACAUGCAAGUCGAGCGAACGGACGAGAAUCUUGCUUCUCUGAUGUUAGCGGCGGACGGGUGAGUAACACGUGGAUAACCUACCUAUAAGACUGGGAUAACUUCGGGAAACCGGAGCUAAUACCGGAUAAUAUUUUGAACCGCAUGGUUCAAAAGUGAAAGACGGUCUUGCUGUCACUUAUAGAUGGAUCCGCGCUGCAUUAGCUAGUUGGUAAGGUAACGGCUUACCAAGGCAACGAUGCAUAGCCGACCUGAGAGGGUGAUCGGCCACACUGGAACUGAGACACGGUCCAGACUCCGACGGGAGGCAGCAGUAGGGAAUCGUCCGCAAUGGGCGAAAGCCUGACGGAGCAACGCCGCGUGAGUGAUGAAGGUCUUCGGAUCGUAAAACUCUGUUAUUAGGGAAGAACAUAUGUGUAAGUAACUGUGAACAUCUUGACGGUACCUAAUCAGAAAGCCACGGCUAACUACGUG